RNAcentral lists this long non-coding RNA (458 nucleotides) under Ornithorhynchus anatinus (platypus). Its description in RNAcentral is "lncRNA (ENSOANG00000039727.1)". Lineage: Eukaryota; Metazoa; Chordata; Mammalia; Monotremata; Ornithorhynchidae. The record is from RNAcentral.
AACAGCUAAACAGCUAAUCCCAGGUCUUCUUUUUUUUUCUCCUUUUGUACAAUAGCUUUUGUAGCAGGAAGAAAAUUAACAGCAGGUGAAAUCUUCUAAAGGGACAGAUCGAAUUUCAGUUCAACUCAAAACGGUUUAUUUCUCACCCUUAAUGGUCAGUGGAGGAUCCAGCCCCGAUAACAGUCUCCUCCAGGUUCAGCCAGCUUUGGGGGUGCAUUCAGUCUAAGGAUCAGCCUGGGGAGUUCAGUCAUCAUUUUGAAGACAGCUGCUUGGAUUGGGGGGAAAGAAGAGAUUAUUGUUGUAAGCAAUGAGAAUGGAAGAGCAAUAGUGUCAGAAAGCUGCAUAUACAAGGUUGCAUCGGGGGAAUUUCCUCUUUGAAGCCCGCUCCUGUACUUCACCAGCAGAAAAGAUAAUCCACAGAGUUGAUUGGGGAACACUGCGGGAGUGAAACGAACCGA